AGAAAUAGAAAACAAGAGAAAGAACCAAACUCUUUUGGAUUUGGUGUCUGGUGGUUCCUGGCAAUCCUUGGCAAUCUGAGACGUCCCUUACUGGAAGACACAUCACCCCAGUCUCUUUACCAUCACAAGACAUUCUGUGUAUCCCUUCUCGAUGUCUUCCUCCUCAUCUUAUAAGGACACCAGUCAGAUGGAAAAACAACCACUGGAGUGGGGGAGUGUGAUGCGCUGAUGGCA
This is a non-coding RNA of Urocitellus parryii (Arctic ground squirrel), 234 nucleotides long. The record is from RefSeq and is a predicted model, not a curated record. Lineage: Eukaryota; Metazoa; Chordata; Mammalia; Rodentia; Sciuridae.